This 233-nucleotide small nucleolar RNA is filed under the name Cordyceps fumosorosea ARSEF 2679. RNAcentral describes it as "Isaria fumosorosea ARSEF 2679 Small nucleolar RNA snR191". It matches the Rfam family "Small nucleolar RNA snR191". The record is from Rfam by way of RNAcentral. Lineage: Eukaryota; Fungi; Ascomycota; Sordariomycetes; Hypocreales; Cordycipitaceae.
CCCCAAUGAUUCCUGUCAGGACCCCUUCUCGAUUUUCUUACGGAGGUUUGUCUGUUACAACAUUGGGAGAGUAACCGCCAUGCUCGACUGUCGGCAGCGUUCUGCUGUUUGGCUAGAUUGGUGACCGUUCUGGUCACCGUCAUGAGAAGGUAUUGGGUCGAAUUGAGUUGAAGGCUCCUAUGUCCACUUCGGACGAGUUUACAGGAGUCUUCGUAGUUAUGACCCACACAUUU